AUGUUCCCAACACUGUUGCUGCUGCUGCUGGCAGCUUCACCCAAUGUGAACUGUGCUGUGGAAUUGACUCAGGUCGAGUCAGUGGUGGUAAAGCCGGGAGAGUCUCUGACUCUCAGAUAUUCUUAUGGACAGUCUCUGAGCUCUUCUGCUUCUGUGGUGAAGAAGCCUGGAGAGUCGGUCAGUCUGUCCUGUACUGUAUCUGGAUUCUCCAUGAGCAGCUACUGGAUGCACUGGAUUCGUCAGAAACCAGGAGAAGGACUGGAGUGGAUCGGAUACAUUGAUGGUGGCACCAGCACUUACUUUGCCCAGUCUCUGCAGGGCCAGUUCUCCAUCACUAAAGACACCAAUCAAAACAAGCUGUACCUGGAAAUAAAGAGUCUCAAACCUGAAGACACGGCAGUUUAUUACUGUGCCCGAGAGUCACACUGUUACAACAGACUACAGACUCAAAAACCUCCACAAGCGAGUGUCUGA
Molecule: non-coding RNA, 474 nt
Organism: Trichomycterus rosablanca
Lineage: Eukaryota; Metazoa; Chordata; Actinopteri; Siluriformes; Trichomycteridae
Source: the annotation of a RefSeq genome assembly